UCCGGUUUGUCACCGGCAGUCUCACAUGAGUCCCCAACUGAAUGCUGGCAACAUGCGACGGGGGUUGCGCUCGUUGCGGGACUUAACCCAACAUCUCACGACACGAGCUGACGACAGCCAUGCAGCACCUGUGGUGCACCCUCGAGGGUCACACGUUUCCACGGCGGUCAGGAACAUGUCAAACCCAGGUAAGGUUCUUCGCGUUGCGUCGAAUUAAACCACAUGCUCCACCGCUUGUGCGGGCCCCCGUCAAUUCCUUUGAGUUUCAGCCUUGCGGCCGUACUCCCCAGGCGGGGCACUUAAUGCGUUAGCGCCGGCACCCAGGGGGUCGCUCCCCCAGGCACCUAGUGCCCAUCGUUUACGGCGUGGACUAC
RNAcentral lists this unclassified non-coding RNA (374 nucleotides) under uncultured bacterium. RNAcentral describes it as "contains 16S-23S intergenic spacer region". The record is from RNAcentral.